AAGCAAAAGCAUCAAUUCUUAAGAAAUAAAAAUCUAUUAGUAUCUAUUUUGAUGCUUCUUUUGAGAUAUUUAAUGUACUUAUCAUACCUCCCAACUUGAGCUUUGCUCGUCCUUGAGUAAAGAAAGAAAUUAGCGUUAGAUACCUUCAUACUUUGAAAUGGAUAUAUUAUCAAGUAAUUUUUCUAAACAGUCCAUUGAUAUUUCAAAGAACAUUGUUAAGAUAGGUCAUAGGGAUAUUAAUACU
Molecule: long non-coding RNA, 244 nt
Filed under: Elaeis guineensis (African oil palm)
Lineage: Eukaryota; Viridiplantae; Streptophyta; Magnoliopsida; Arecales; Arecaceae
Description: long non-coding RNA (EGUI_LNC035651)
Source: RNAcentral